UGGAUUUGUAGUAUAUACGUGGUUAGAAAU
Molecule: non-coding RNA, 30 nt
Filed under: Mus musculus (house mouse)
Lineage: Eukaryota; Metazoa; Chordata; Mammalia; Rodentia; Muridae
Source: RNAcentral